Molecule: non-coding RNA, 22 nt
Filed under: Arabidopsis thaliana (thale cress)
Lineage: Eukaryota; Viridiplantae; Streptophyta; Magnoliopsida; Brassicales; Brassicaceae
Source: RNAcentral
CAGUAGACUGGAUUGACACCCC